GGCUGAGUAACACGUGGAGAACCUGCCUCCUCCCCCGGGAUAGCCGCCCGAAAGGACGGGUAAUACCGGAUACCCCGGGGUGCCGCAUGGCACCCCGGCUAAAGCCCCGACGGGAGGGGAUGGCUCCGCGGCCCAUCAGGUAGACGGCGGGGUGACGGCCCACCGUGCCGACAACGGGUAGCCGGGUUGAGAGACCGACCGGCCAGAUUGGGACUGAGACACGGCCCAGACUCCUACGGGAGGCAGCAGUGGGGAAUCUUGCGCAAUGGGGGGAACCCUGACGCAGCGACGCCGCGUGCGGGACGGAGGCCUUCGGGUCGUAAACCGCUUUCAGCAGGGAAGAGUCAAGACUGUACCUGCAGAAGAAGCCCCGGCUAACUACGUGCCAGCAGCCGCGGUAAUACGUAGGGGGCGAGCGUUAUCCGGAUUCAUUGGGCGUAAAGCGCGCGUAGGCGGCCCGGCAGGCCGGGGGUCGAAGCGGGGGGCUCAACCCCCCGAAGCCCCCGGAACCUCCGCGGCUUGGGUCCGGUAGGGGAGGGUGGAACACCCGGUGUAGCGGUGGAAUGCGCAGAUAUCGGGUGGAACACCGGUGGCGAAGGCGGCCCUCUGGGCCGAGACCGACGCUGAGGCGCGAAAGCUGGGGGAGCGAACAGGAUUAGAUACCCUGGUAGUCCCAGCCGUAAACGAUGGACGCUAG
This 697-nucleotide ribosomal RNA is filed under the name uncultured bacterium. Its description in RNAcentral is "bacterial SSU rRNA". It matches the Rfam family "Bacterial small subunit ribosomal RNA", at positions 104 to 819 of the family's 1533-position model. The record is from RNAcentral.